AUACAGAUUUCAUAAAAUUAUUUUUUCUUUUCUUUUCUUUUUUUAUAUAUAUAUAUAUAUUUUAUAAAGACGGGGUUUCACCAUGUUGAUCAGGCUGGUCUUGAACUCCUAACCUCAGGUGAUCCGCCUGCCUUGGCCUCAAAAGUGCUUGGAUUACAGGCGUGAGCCACCACACCCAGCCCAUAAAUGUUUUAAAUCAUUUUUUCCUUAAGUGUGAAUGAUUUAGACUUUCAUUUGAAUGAAGGAUUAUAUUCUCUGAACUUGGUAGCUGGUGCUUAAAAUGAUUGUUUAGCUGCAAUAUUUUUGAUUUUCCACUAAGUAGAACAUACUUAAAUAAUCUUGAUUAAUUGUUGAGAAUUUGAAUUAAUUAAAACUAAAUUCAGGGCACAAAAGUUACAUAGCUAAAGAACAAAAAGUAUCCUUUGGAUUUGGCUGUUACAAAGUCAUUGGCAGUCCUGGAGCAAUUUUGAAGAAGUGUUUUGCAUAGAAGUAAUGGGAUUCAGAAAGAGUUGUAAGUGAGAAAGUGGCAACAAUAGUGCAGGUACAUUUUUAGGAAUAGUGGCUAUGAAUGGAAAGUGAUACGUAUGUAAGGGAUGUACCUGAAUUAUAGGUACAUGUUCUGUAUGAAUGAAACUUGGGUUUGAACCUAGCCUCUUCACUCUCUUUAGUAUGUAGAUUAGCCAGUUAAUCCUAGUUUCUUAUCUGUAAAAUUGGAAUAUAUUACCUACCUUAUAAGGCGGUUCUGUGGAAAUGAGGAAAUACAUGUAUGUAAAGUGUACAGUAGAGUCCCCCAAAAAGAGUAGGAACACAAUAACUUCCAGAAUUCUCUUCCCAACAUUUUUACAAAAGGAAGCCAUGAUGGAUCUCUUAACUGGUUCUUGUUUGUUUGUUUGCCAGUAUUAAACCUCUUGUUUUUAUCACAGUAUGAAAAAUAAUUUUUAACCAUUUUUGGAGAAGAAUGUUCUUUUAUUUGUAAAGAAAAUUUGUUUUCUAGUAUGACACCCUCAAGGCACCAUAUCUCUAUGUAGACAUUGUGCCCAGUGCUACACAGACAUUAUUUUAAAACUAUUUUCCACCUUUGGUAAAUAGACUAAACUGUUUUCUUUAUUCCUCAGAAGAAUUAGGUCAUACUUCAGUGUUGAUUUUGUUGCUAAUGGGACAUGGGAUGUCUGGAUGAUAAUAAAUAUUUUUGUGGUGUGGCCACUGAAACCUUUAAGAGUUAUACUGUGGUUUGUAUGUGAAGAAGUCACUCAAAUCCUCCUAUCAGACAGCUUCCUUACUCAUAUAGGAAACCUCUGUUUCAUUAGGAGAUGAAUAUGACAUUUCAUUUUAGUUGUUCUUGUUGACGUACAACAUUUUUCUUCUCUGAAAUAGCAUGUUUUUAUUAUAACUUGCUUGCUUGCCAUUAUUAGAUAUUUUUGUUCAGCCAUCAACUGAAACACUCAGAAAUCAUGCUUUAUAGUAACAAUAUAAUUUUUCAUAUCUAUAUUAUUAAAAUUUAGAUUGAUUCUUUCUUUAAGACAGAGUCUUAUUGUCACCCAGGCUGGAGUGCAGUGGCACGAUCCUGGCUCACUGCAGCCUCUGCUUCCCAGGUUCAAGUGAUUCUCCUGCCUCAGCCUCCGGAGUAGCUGGGAUUAUAGUUGCACACCACCAUGGCCUGGCAGAUUUUUGUAUUUUUAAUAGAGAUGAGGAUUCACAAUGUUGGCCAGGCUGGUCUCAAACUCCUGACCUUGUGAUCCACCCACCUCAGCCUCCCAAAGUGCUGGAAUUACAGACGUGAGCCACUGCGCCUGGCGUAGAUCUAAUUUUUAUACAAGAAAAUGCAGUUCUGCCUCUCAGAACCUUCCUGCUGCUGCAUUUGCACCUCACUGCUCUAGCCUCUGGGGCACAUUCCAUCCUUUCAGCCUGCAACCAGCAGAGAAAAAAAAUUACAUAUUUUAUUGCCCCGUACAUACCUUGAGGCAAGCAAAAAAAUUAAAUUUUAACCAUGAGGGAAAUUGUGCACAUUCAGGCUGGUCAGUGUGGCAACCAGAUUAGUGCCAAGUUCUGAGAUGUGAUCAGUGAUGAUCGUGGCAUCGAGCCCACUGACAUCUAACAUGAGGACAGCACCUGCAGCUGGACUGCAACUCCAUGUACUACAAUGAAGCCACAGGUGCCAGAUAUGUUCCUUGUGCUAUCCUGGUGGAUAUAGAACCUGGGACCAUGGACUGUGCUAGCUCAGGCCCUUUUGGCUAGAUGUUUAGAUCAGACAUCUUCGUUUUUGGUUAGUCUGGGACAGGCAACAACUGGGCCAAAGGACGCUACAUAGAGGGGGCCGAGCUGGUUGAUUCAGUCCUAGAAGUGGUGCAGAAGGAGGCUGAGAGCUGUGACUGCCUUUAGGGCUUCCAGCUGACCCACUCACUGGGUGGGGGCACAGGCUCUGGAAUGGGCAAGCUCCUUAUCAGCAAGAUCCGAGAGCACCCUGAUUGCAUUAUGAACACCUUCAGUGUGGUCCCUUCACCCAAAGUGUCUGACACUGUGGUUGAGCCCUGCAACACUACUCUCUCCAUCUAUCAGUUGGUAGAGAACACUGAUGAGCCUACUGUAUUGAUAACAAGGCCCUCUAUGAUAUCUGCUUCCGUACUUUGAAGCUGACCAUACCAACCACCUUGUCUCAGCCACCAUAAAUGGUGUUACCACCUGCCUCUGCUUACCUGGCCAGCUCAAUACUGAGCUCUGCAAGUUGGCAGUCAACCUGGAGCCCUUCCCAUAUCUCCACUACUUCAUGCCUGGCUUUGCCCUCUCACCAGCCGUGGAAGCCAGCAGUAUCAAGCUCUCAUAGUGUCCGAACUCACCCAGCAGGUCUUCAAUGCCAAGAACGUGAUGGCUGCCUAUGACCCGCUUAUAUCUCAGCGUGGCGCUGUCUUCAUGGAUGGAUGUCUAUGAAAGAGGUUGAUGAGCAGAUGCUCAACGUACAGAACUAGGACAGCAGCUAAUUGUGGAAUGCAUCCCCAACAACAUUAAGACAGCUGUCUGUGACAUCUCACCUCAUGACCUCAAGAUGGCAGUCACCUUCAUCGGCAACAGCAUGGCCAUCCAGGAGCUCUUCAGGGGCACCUUGGAGCAGCUCACUGCCAUGAUCUGCUGGAAGAUCUUCCUCCACUGGUACACAGGCAAGGGCCUGGAUGAGAUGGGAGUUCACUGAGGCUGAGAGCAACAUGAACAACCUUGUCUCUGAGUAUCAGCAGUACCAGGAUGCCACCGCAGUAAAGGAGGAUGAUUUCUGUGAGGAGGCUGAUGAGGAGGCCUAAGGCAGAGCCCCCAUCACUUCAGGCUUCUCAGUUCCCUUAGCCAUCUUACUCACCUGCCCCUUUUCUCUCCCUCAGAAUUUGUGUUUGUGGCCUCAAUCUCGUUUUCUGUUUUUUUCUUUUCUUUUGGGGGAUGUAGAACAGUGCCUGGCACACAGUAGGUGCUCAACAAAUACUUGUUUGUGGAAUGUUUCCUCUAUCUUUCUUCUCUGGGAAGUCUAGGUUACUGCCAUUUUGGGUGACCCUGUAUUUCCUUCCAGUGCCCAUCCCUUUCAUCUGUCCAGUUAAUAUUUCCCUUUUUUAAAAUCUGCAAGAAGCUGGCUCUCAUCAAGAUCUCAUUUAGAACCAACUGGGUUUUGAAAGCCUAGGUAGAUAAUGGCCACCAUCCUAAGCCCAAAGUUGAAGAUGGUAGAAGAUGGCAGGUAGAAGUCACGGCAAGGAAGGGGAUGGGAUUUUCCAUCCUAAAAGUUUUGAGAGAGAAAUCCAGGCUAUUAAAGUCAUAAUUUCCAGAUGUUUUCAUUUUCCAUUUCUCAGCUUCAAGGGAGGAGAAGUAGUAUUUUCUCCAUUUCCAAACUUCCUCCAAGCUCUACCCUUUGGAGAGGUCUGCCUCACUCUGUCAAUUUUUCCCUCUCUGACUCUACCUCCCUCACACAUUGAAUUCCUCCCUUUCUCCUGAUCAGAGAAGGGGAUCAAGAGGGGAAAGAGAACCAGCCUUGGUCCCUAGGCCUCCAGAAAUGCCCCCAAUCCCCACAUUUUCUUAACCCCAGAAAAAAUUAACAUCCUUGACUUUAGGUGAAUGGUGUAUACUGCCACAUCAGUGUUUGAGUCAUUCUCCAGAGGAGAGGGGAACCCUCCUCCAUCUUUUUUGCAACAUCUCAUAUCUUCCUUUUGCUGUUGCUUUUCCCCCCUUAUGCUUAGUUUUGUUCUAUGCUACACUUUAGAUUUCUAUUUUGUGUUAAACUUGCUGUUUUUUUCAUACUGAAAAGGUGACAUUGCACCAAGAACCAAAAAUAAAUGGGAAUUGGAAAAAAAAAUCCACAAUUCUUGCCAAAACGUGCACACUGAUGUUUAUAGCAGCAUUAUUCAUAAUAGUCAAAAGCUGGAAACAACCCAGAUGUCUAUCAUCAACUGAUGAACAAAAUGUGGUAUAUUUAUUUUUAUUUUUUUAGAUUUUUUUUGAAAUAGUCUCACUCUGUCCCGAAGGCUGGAGUGCAGUGGUGUGAUCUUGGCUCACUGCAACCUCCACUUCCCUUGUUCUAGUGAUUCUCCUGCUCCAGCCUCCUGAAUAGCUGAGACUCCAGUGCCUGCUACCACAUCCAGCUAAUUUUUGUAUUUUUAGUAGAGAUGGGGUUUCUUUAUGUUGGCCAGACUGGUCUCAAACUCCUGAUCUCAAGUGAUCCACCCACCUCAGCCUCCCAGGUGUGAGCCACUGCGUCUGGCCAAAAUGUGGUAUAUUUAUACUAUGGAAUAUUUUUUGGCCAUGAAAGGAAUGAGGUACUGACAUAUGCUACAAUAUAGAACUUUGAAAACAUUUUUAAAUUCCAUUUUUAUGAUAUGUCCAGAAUAGGCAAAUCUGUAGGACAGAAAAUAGGUUAGUGGUUGCUUAGGACUAGGGAACACAGGAGAGAUACCUAAAGGGUAUAUGUGGAGUUUCUUUUUAGAUGAUGAAAAUGUUCUAAAAUUGAUUGUGGUGAUAGCUGCACAACUCUGAAUACACUAAAAAAAUCACUGAAUUGUACACUUUAAAUCGAUAAUUGUUUUUGACAAUUAUAUACAUCCAGGUAGCAACCAGCCAAAACAAGAUCAAGAACAUUUUCAUUACCCCAAAAAGUUCUAGCCUGCCUAUUUCCAGUCAAUCCUGUGGCCUCCCUGAAACACUUCUCUCUCACUUUCCACCACCACCAGGCUGAGAUGUUUGACUUCUCGCGUGGCAGAUUAGUUUUGCUGAUCCUAGAACUUCAUAUAAAUGGAAUCAUACAGUGCAUGUAUGUAUUCUUUUGUGCUUGGUUUCAUUCAGCAGAUUAUAAAAUUAAUCCAAGGUUUUCUUUUUAUUAGUAGUUCUUUUUUAUUGCCAAAUAGUAUUCUAUUGUUGAAAUAUAUCAGUUUGCAUAUCUAUUGUCCUGUGGAUGGAUAUUUGAAUUGCUUCCUGUUUAGGGCUGCAUGAAUAAGAUUGCUAUGAAUGUUUGUAUACAAGUCUAUUUUCAGACAUAUAUUUUAAUUUUUCUUGGGAUAAUAACUUGGAGUGAAAUUGCUGGGUCAUAGGACAGAUACAUAUUUAACUUUAUGAGUAACUGUCAAAUAAGGCUAGGCGCCGUAACUCACACCUGUAAUCCCAGCACUUUGGGAGGCCGAGGUGGAAGGACUGCUUGAAGCCAGGAGUUUGAGACCAGCUUUGGCAGCAAAACAAGACUUCAUCUCUACAAAAUAUUAAAAAAUUAACUGGGAGCAGUAGCAUGCACCUGUAGUCCCAGCUACCCAGGAGGCUGAGGUCGCGGGAUUGCUUGAGCCCAGGAGAUCAAGACUGCAGGGAUACUUACUGCAGCAUUGUUUGCAAUAACAAACUUGACACAACUUAUAUGUCUAUCAAUAAUUGAAUUACUAGGUUUCUUACAAUGGAAAUAGUAUGUAGGCAUUAAAAAGAAUAAAGGCUAUAAGUGAUAAUACAGAAAGAUUUUUAAGAGGUGCCAGGCAUGGUGGUGCAUGCCUAUACACCCCAGGAGUUUGAGACCAGCCUGGGCAACAUGGUGAAAACCUGUCUCUACAAAAAAUACAAAAAUUAGUCAGGCGUAGUGGCACACAUCUGUGGUCCCAGCUAUCUGUGUUUUUUCAUACUUUCACAAGUAUAUCCAUUGUGUCACUGGGUAGUAUGUAUUUAAAAAUUAGUUGAGAUUGCCAAAUAUUCUUCAGAAAAGAUUGAACCAAUAUAUAUUUCCAAUAACAGUAUGAGAAUGCCUCUUUUCCUUCAGUCUUGUCAGUAUUGGAUUUUUUUUUCUCAAAUGUUAAAAAUUUUGCCAAUAUUGACAGAUCAUCUGUUUGUCUUCCCUGGGUACUGAAAAGGUAACCUAAAACACUCCAGGAAGAUAGAAUUUACUCAAUUUUUAAAUAUUCAAAGAGAGACUCACAUUUCCUGCAGUAUCCUUUGAUAGCCCUUUCUAACAUUUGAGUCUACACUGUUGGUAAAUUUUUCCUUUUAUCAUUAGUCUUUGAGGUAUCACGUCUAGUGAUGGUGUAGCAUUUUGUGGGAAAAACUUACAAAUCUUGAUGACUUGAGUUGUAGUCUGAAUAGGAAUGAGGAAUUAUUGAAAAGUAAAUGUUUCCUUGCUACAUAUUGAGGAUUUGGAUAUAUUUUGAGUAAAUCUGGCACAUGGCCACUAGCUGUAGUGUGCCCCAAGAAAGAAUUCAGACUCCUUGAAUAUAUAUCACAAUGACAGUUAUAAGUAGCUUAAACAUUUUUUCCCUAGUUACUUGGAUAACAAACUGCAAUAGGAUUCUAAGAGAUUCAGAAAAUGGUCAAGUAAGUUCCAAAAUAUGUUAAGACUGGUGGUGAGAGUAUACGGUUCUCUUCUGUAAAUGGGAUUAAUUUAAUUGUAAGACAAUGUUACUUUGGUUGGGAACUCAGUAUUAGGGAAUUAGCUUUAAAAUUAAAGCUUUGUCUGACAAAGGGUUGAUAUCCAGAAUCUACAAAGAACUAAAACAGAUUUACAAGAAAAAAACAAACAAGCCCAUUCAAAAGUGGGCAAAGGAUAUGAACAGACACUUUACAAAAGAAGACAUACAUGAGGCCAACAAUCAUAUGAAAAAAUGCUCAUCAUCACUGGUCAUUAGAGAAAUGCAAAUCAAAACUACAUUGAGAUACCGUCUCACGCCAGUUAGAAUGGCGAUCAUUAAAAAGUCUGGAGACAACAGAUGCUGGAGAGGAUGUGGAGAAAUAGGAACACUUUUACACUGUUGGUGGGAGUGUAAAUUAGUUCAACCAUUGUGGAAGACAGUGUGGCGAUUCCUCAAGGACCUAGAAAUGGAAAUUCCAUUUGAGCCAGCAAUCCCAUUACUGGGUAUAUAUCCAAAGGAUUAUAAAUCAUCCUACUAUAAGGACAUAUGCACAUAAAUGUUCAUUGCAGUACAGUUUACAAUAGCAAAGACCUGGAACCAACCCAAAUGCCCAUCGACGAUAGACUGGACAGGGAAAAUGUGGCACAUAUACACCAUGGAAUAUUAUGCAGCCAUCAAAAACAAUGAGUUUGUGUCCUUUGUAGGGACAUUGAUGAACCUAGAAACCAUCAUUCUCAGCAAACUGACAUAAGAACAGAAAAUCAAACACCACAUGUUCUCACUCAUAGGUGGGUGUUGAACAAUGAGAACACGUGGACACAGGGAGGGGAGCGUCACA
Non-coding RNA from Callithrix jacchus (white-tufted-ear marmoset), 7674 nucleotides. NCBI's taxonomy places the organism in Eukaryota, Metazoa, Chordata, Mammalia, Primates, Cebidae. The record is from RefSeq and is a predicted model, not a curated record.